This is a long non-coding RNA of Dermacentor albipictus, 560 nucleotides long. RefSeq lists it as uncharacterized. Lineage: Eukaryota; Metazoa; Arthropoda; Arachnida; Ixodida; Ixodidae. The record is from RefSeq and is a predicted model, not a curated record.
GAUAAUUCCAGCGCUUGCUUCAUUGCAUUGUACGCGGCUUUGGAUUUGAAACCGCGCAAUGAAGUUCUGCCUGUACGUAUUUGCUAUCUGCUUGCUCGUGUGCCUUAAGUUUCUGGAAGGGCGAGGUGUAGGAGGAUGCUCAAGAAAGCCAAGAAUUGGAAACUGUGCAGGCCCCAAGACAUGGUCUUAUGACUCGAAAUCAGGAACAUGCAUCGCUUUAUUAUUAGGAUUAUGUCCUAACCAGAAGGCCGUGAACAGUUAUCCCACAUGCGAACAGUGCCUAAAGAAAUGCGCUGGUAAACUUAGUGCUCAGAAAAUUAAAAAGGCCUGCAUCCUUCGUGCCUAAACAUCCGGAAAAAUGACAGACGCUUAGAAGGCCCUCAUUUCUGGAGCCAAAAGUUUGGUUGGAUACCGAACUGUCAAGACAUGCCUAAGCCGCGCACGGUUACACGGGUGAGAGUCCAACCGUCAAGUGCACGGCUGCAAAUAUUUGGAGCCUUUAGACCCACCAAGCGCCUGUAGACGCAGACGCCCCGGCGGAGAAGCUUAUGGUGUUUAUU